GCUACACACGUGCUACAAUGGCGCAUACAAAGAGAAGCGACCUCGCGAGAGCAAGCGGACCUCAUAAAGUGCGUCGUAGUCCGGAUUGGAGUCUGCAACUCGACUCCAUGAAGUCGGAAUCGCUAGUUGCGGCCUGCCAGACAUCGCCCGC
RNAcentral lists this ribosomal RNA (151 nucleotides) under Salmonella enterica subsp. enterica serovar Anatum. Its description in RNAcentral is "partial 16S ribosomal RNA". It matches the Rfam family "Bacterial small subunit ribosomal RNA", at positions 1213 to 1363 of the family's 1533-position model. The record is from RNAcentral. Lineage: Bacteria; Pseudomonadati; Pseudomonadota; Gammaproteobacteria; Enterobacterales; Enterobacteriaceae.